This is a long non-coding RNA of Salvia splendens (bonfire salvia), 706 nucleotides long. RefSeq lists it as uncharacterized. The transcript has 3 exons. NCBI's taxonomy places the organism in Eukaryota, Viridiplantae, Streptophyta, Magnoliopsida, Lamiales, Lamiaceae. The record is from RefSeq and is a predicted model, not a curated record.
GGUGUUUGGUAAUGAUAAUUGUGCAGGUUGUGAGCUUUUAACUAACCUCAUUUCCAUGCAUAUCGACAAGUGUUUUCAGCUCCGCACGCCUCAGCAGAGCAGAGUGCCCCUUCCCAAGCAGCAAGUCCAAAAGCUUGUGCUUUGAUGAGGACUUCGAGAUCAACGAGGCUGAGAGACAUCAGUCCUAGAGUAAGGCCAGACAUGAGUCCUGCGAAACAAACAAGCGCGAUGCAUAUCACUAGAUACACCCAAAACAUUGUUUCACAACAUGGGACAUCGUUUGCUGCCAUUGCAAUCUAAACAGAAUUACUUGCAACUGCUCCAUGUGGUAUCUCGGCCGGUAAGGCAUUUGUAAGAAUAGAAGACAUCUCGAUAACAAGUAUGCCACUCGAUCAACUAGGCCACCCUGAAGGACUUUUCCUAUCCUGAGUUUCAAGGCUCUUGUGGAUGCUGGAUUCUAUGUUUUCCCCCUUCACGAGUUCAAAGGCAGGUACCAAGAAAAGCACCAAAGGUAUAGUAGUAACUAAAUGUUAAAUGUCAUAGUUAUUCUUGGAUGUAAUAGAAUAGAGUCGUGCACAGUUCAGUUUAAAAAAGUAGCAUAACACAAACUGGGAUAUAUUAGGUAAUUGAUUCAGUGGAAAUGUGGCUGAAUGACGAAACAAAAGGAGUCUUCUUUUAUGCAGUAGGUAUUCUAUGUUUUUUCUCU